GAUGAACGCUGACAGAAUGCUUAACACAUGCAAGUCGAUUCGAUUUACCUUCGGGUAUUGAGGAUGGCGGACGGGUGAGUAACGCGUAAGGAACUUGCCUCUUGGUCUGGGACAACUGUUGGAAACGACAGCUAAUACCGGAUAUUAUGAGAUUCUCGCAUGGGAAACUUAUGAAAGCUAUAUGCGCCAAGAGAGAGCCUUGCGUUCCAUUAGCUAGUUGGUGGGGUAACGGCCCACCAAGGCGACGAUGGAUAGCCGGCCUGAGAGGGUGAACGGCCACAAGGGGACUGAGACACGGCCCUUACUCCUACGGGAGGCAGCAGUGGGGAAUAUUGGACAAUGGGCCACAAGCCUGAUCCAGCAAUUCUGUGUGCACGAUGAAGGUCUUCGGAUUGUAAAGUGCUUUCAGUUGGGAAGAAGAAAGUGACGGUACCAACAGAAGAAGCGACGGCUAAAUACGUGCCAGCAGCCGCGGUAAUACGUAUGUCGCAAGCGUUAUCCGGAUUUAUUGGGCGUAAAGCGCGUCUAGGCGGAAAAAUAAGUCUGAUGUUAAAAUGCGGGGCUCAACUCCGUAUUGCGUUGGAAACUGUUUUUCUAGAGUACUGGAGAGGUGGGCGGAACUACAAGUGUAGAGGUGAAAUUCNUA
This 646-nucleotide ribosomal RNA is filed under the name uncultured prokaryote. RNAcentral's name for it is "bacterial SSU rRNA". It matches the Rfam family "Bacterial small subunit ribosomal RNA", at positions 28 to 692 of the family's 1533-position model. The record is from RNAcentral.